UACGGGAGGCAGCAGUGGGGAAUAUUGGACAAUGGGCGAAAGCCUGAUCCAGCCAUGCCGCAUGAGUGAAGAAGGCCUUCGGGUUGUAAAGCUCUUUUAGUGAGAAAGAUAAUGACGGUACUCACAGAAGAAGUCCUGGCUAACUCCGUGCCAGCAGCCGCGGUAAUACGGAGAGGGCUAGCGUUAUUCGGAAUUAUUGGGCGUAAAGAGCGCGUAGGCUGAUUAGUAAGUUAAAAGUGAAAUCCCAAAGCUUAACUUUGGAAUUGCUUUUUAAAACUGCUAGUCUAGAGAUUUGAAAGAGGAUAGAGGAACUCCUAGUGUAGAGGUGAAAUUCGUAAAUAUUAGGAGGAACACCAGUGGCGAAGGCGUCUAUCUGGUUCAAAUCUGACGCUGAGGCGCGAAGGGCGUGGGGAGCGAAACAGGGAUUAGAUACC
This 434-nucleotide ribosomal RNA is filed under the name uncultured bacterium. Its description in RNAcentral is "bacterial SSU rRNA". It matches the Rfam family "Bacterial small subunit ribosomal RNA", at positions 340 to 786 of the family's 1533-position model. The record is from RNAcentral.